Molecule: ribosomal RNA, 434 nt
Filed under: uncultured bacterium
Lineage: Bacteria
Description: partial 16S ribosomal RNA
Rfam family: Bacterial small subunit ribosomal RNA
Source: RNAcentral
AGCGAACGCUGGCGGCAGGCCUAACACAUGCAAGUCGAACGAACCUUUCGGGGUUAGUGGCGGACGGGGGAGUAACACGUGGGAACGUGCCUUUAGGUUCGGAAUAACUCAGGGAAACUUGUGCUAAUACCGAAUGUGCCCUUCGGGGGAAAGAUUUAUCGCCUUUAGAGCGGCCCGCGUCUGAUUAGCUAGUUGGUUGAGGUAAUGGCUCACCAAGGCGACGAUCAGUAGCUGGUCUGAGAGGAUGAUCAGCCACAUUGGGACUGAGACACGGCCCAAACUCCUACGGGAGGCAGCAGUGGGGAAUCUUGCGCAAUGGGCGAAAGCCUGACGCAGCCAUGCCGCGUGAAUGAUGAAGGUCUUAGGAUUGUAAAAUUCUUUAACCGGGGACGAUAAUGACGGUACCCGGAGAAGAAGCCCCGGCUAACUUCGUG